AAAAAUGAUGAAAAGUGGUUCUGUCACCACUUUUCAUUCAGGAAGAGUACUAAGUGACGGGGCGAAACAAGCCCUUCCACAUGCUCCCCACUCCUAUGGAGGAGUCAGCCGGAUUGUAAAAUAUGGGGAGAGACGGGCCGGGCUUGGAUUCCAUGAUAAAUAUUUUCAAGGGGAUAGGACCCGCGACUCGAACCCGAAUCUUCUAGAGUGAAAGAGUAAGUGUUUCCACGUAGCCAAUCCGGCCGACGAUUGUAGUGAGUUUGGAGGAAGGAUUUGAAUGAUAUCAUUUUUGUAAUAAGAUAAGAUGUCUCCUCUUGUUCAGUUAAACUGAACAAGAGGAGCCUAGGAGUAAGACGUAGUUCUUUGUUUCCCUUGUCUGUAUUAACUGAUGCAAGUUCGCUUGGUUCUAAUUCCUUAAUCUCGAGCAACGCGGAAAAAAAAAAAUAAUUAUUUUAAACCAGGGCAUUUGAACUUUACAAAAUAAUCUAUAUUUCCUAUGUAAAUUUCAGAAACAACCGGCGAACCAUUGUAAGUUUCGGGGUUCGUUAGUCGACAGUCGAGCGUGAGUCA
RNAcentral lists this long non-coding RNA (570 nucleotides) under Androctonus crassicauda. The record is from RNAcentral. Lineage: Eukaryota; Metazoa; Arthropoda; Arachnida; Scorpiones; Buthidae.